RNAcentral lists this ribosomal RNA (465 nucleotides) under uncultured bacterium. RNAcentral's name for it is "partial 16S ribosomal RNA". It matches the Rfam family "Bacterial small subunit ribosomal RNA", at positions 338 to 795 of the family's 1533-position model. The record is from RNAcentral.
CCUACGGGAGGCAGCAGUAGGGAAUCUUCCACAAUGGGCGAAAGCCUGAUGGAGCAACGCCGCGUGGGUGAAGAAGGUCUUCGGAUCGUAAAACCCUGUUGUUAGAGAAGUAAGAGCGUGAGAGUAACUGUUCACGUUUCGACGGUAUCUAACCAGAAAGCCACGGCUAACUACGUGCCAGCAGCCGCGGUAAUACGUAGGUGGCAAGCGUUAUCCGGAUUUAUUGGGCGUAAAGGGAACGCAGGCGGUCUUUUAAGUCUGAUGUGAAAGCUUUCGGCUUAACCGGAGUAGUGCAUUGGAUACUGGGAGACUUGAGUGCAGAAGAGGAGAGCGGAACUCCAUGUGUAGCGGUGAAAUGCGUAGAUAUAUGGAAGAACACCAGUGGCGAAAGCGGCUCUCUGGUCUGUAACUGACGCUGAGGUUCGAAAGCGUGGGUAGCAAACAGGAUUAGAUACCCCAGUAGUC